UUUGGGGGGACGCGGGGAAAGAAAACGACGACAGACAGCACUUUCUGCUGCCUCUAAAAGAGAAGGGAGACAGGUUCCUUCAUAUCUGGCAAGGACCCUCCAGUUUUCGGAGCAGGGGGAGCGGAACUUAAGGUCCCUCUCUCCCAUAACUGAACUGGACAGGCCAGAGGAGAACCGCAAAGAUUUCCCUAAGGCCCACGCGAAGGACAGGCACCCAGAGGGAAGGCGGAUGGUGGAGCACUGGAAGAGGACAGAUGGAAAGGAGAAACAUGCUAUGAAUGAAAAUGUACAAGAGGCCUCGUGUACCAGUCCUAUGCACUCACUAACCCGGAGAAACCCCUGUUCGUACUUUGCAGCCAAGUCAGCUCUAGGAAUCCGAUUUUGGAACAUUCAGUGACUGGAAUGACGAUGGAAGUUUAUAGGAAAAGUUUUCUGGAAAAUACUAGGUGAGAUCAAAGAGAGAGCUUCUGCCACCUCGCAGGCAUAAAAACCUCCUACUUUGGCCCAGCUUAGCUUCCGAUCACAGAUCACACUAGGAUUCCUGCCUCUCCCCACGCCCAAUCAGAACCAGCUCUUCUCUGAUGCCAAAUACAAAGAAACAGACAACAUUUGCCCCUGCACUCUCCAUCCAUUAAUAUGGACUAGAACCCAUCUCCCCUACCCCAUAUGGAUCAGGACUAUUUCUACUUCUUCUGCUCCCCUCAAUACAGAUUAGGACCAUUUCAGCUUCUGUUCACUCCCUCCCUCCCAACAUAGGCCAGUGCCUCCUCUGCUUCUGCAUUUCAUCAGGGACAUUACUCAAAAUCUGUUUGGAACCAAAGCCCACCCGAGACACGGUGGCCAUUGUGUCUAUGACCCUAGCUAAAACAGUCAUACUCUGGAGCCUGAGCUGGAGAAUGGAACUAGGACAACCCCCCACAAGUUUGUGCCCACACCUUGUUCCAUCUGAGUGUCUUGGGUUUUGUUUGUUUGUUUUGUUUUUUGAUUAUUAUUAUUUUUUUACACAAA
Molecule: long non-coding RNA, 1008 nt
Organism: Marmota monax (woodchuck)
Lineage: Eukaryota; Metazoa; Chordata; Mammalia; Rodentia; Sciuridae
Exons: 2
Source: RefSeq, a predicted model, not a curated record